This 497-nucleotide ribosomal RNA is filed under the name uncultured bacterium. RNAcentral describes it as "partial 16S ribosomal RNA". It matches the Rfam family "Bacterial small subunit ribosomal RNA", at positions 28 to 507 of the family's 1533-position model. The record is from RNAcentral.
GAUGAACGCUGGCGGCGUGCCUAAUACAUGCAAGUCGAGCGAACGGACGAGAAGCUUGCUUCUCUGAUGUUAGCGGCGGGCGGGUGAGUAACACGUGGAUAACCUACCUAUAAGACUGGGAUAACUUCGGGAAACCGGAGCUAAUACCGGAUAAUAUUUUGAACCGCAUGGUUCAAAAGUGAAAGACGGUCUUGCUGUCACUUAUAGAUGGAUCCGCGCUGCAUUAGCUAGUUGGUAAGGUAACGGCUUACCAAGGCAACGAUGCAUAGCCGACCUGAGAGGGUGAUCGGCCACACUGGAACUGAGACACGGUCCAGACUCCUACGGGAGGCAGCAGUAGGGAAUCUUCCGCAAUGGACGAAAGCCUGACGGAGCAACGCCGCGUGAGUGAUGAAGGUCUUCGGAUCGUAAAACUCUGUUAUUAGGGAAGAACAUAUGUGUAAGUAACUGUGCACAUCUUGACGGUACCUAAUCAGAAAGCCACGGCUAACUACGUG